GGAGGCAGGGGAGCGGGCAGGGGACAGGGAGGGCGGCGGUGCGCGCACAGGACUGACCACCAGCAGCGAAAAAGAAGAACACUGGAGCCCUUCUUGCCUUGCCAGAAGAGAUGACCUCCUACAUCUGCUGUAAAUUCACCAAAGCAUAUGGAAUUUUGCCUUUCGCCAUCUCCCAAGCAUCAGACCACAGCAACACCAGGCAGAUAAAAGCAAAGCCAAAACCAACCUUCCAUUCUUAUCCUCCAUUUGAAGAUCCUAUUUGUGUGAAAAUAAAGCGAUGGUACCCAGCCACCUCUUUUGCUGUUCCCACCCACAGUAACACAUCUCUGGGCACCUGCAAACACAAGCUCUCCUGGGUCUGCCUGCAAAGUGAGAGGGGGAAACCAGAAGUCGCCAAAGGACACAAAGCUGAGGAAGUUGUAGAACUUGAUACUCAGGGAUAAGAGGAGUCUUACCCUUCCAUUUCUUUGCUGAUUUUGAAUUUAGUACAAUACAAAUAACAGGCAGAAUCUGAUACAAACUUCAGGAAGUUCAACCAAGUCCUGGACUACUACAAAAAAGUACAGGCUGAGGAGCAAUCUUUACCAAAAAAAACCCUGUGUGUCCUGGAGAGAAAGCUGAAUAAGAAUCAGCAGUGUAUGUCUGAUGAAGAUAACUACAUAUUGGCUGUAUUAGCAAAUGGGCAGCAAGAAGGGUAAAAAGAAUAAUGAUUCCCCUCUACUCAGCACUUGUGAGCCUGCAUCUCCAGUACCAUGUCCUGUCUUGUGAUCCCCAAAAGGAGAUGGACAUUGGAGUAGGUCCAGCGAAGGGUCACGAAGCAGGAGUGCAACACACAAUAAAAAAGUAAGGUUUACUUGAUAGCAAAGUGAUUCACCUAAGGGAAGAUCUUACUGCUGCCUUAAAUUACUUACUGGGAGGGUGCAAACAUUAUGACAAAAGCUUUUUGUGAAGAUAGCACAGUGCCAAGACAAGAAUCAUGACUUGCAUUAAAGGGUAUUUUGACUAGAUGUAAACAAAAAAAAAUCCAACAGAAUGAGAGUUUACCCAGACAGUUUUACUAGGCUGAAACAUCUCCAUUCUUGGAGAUAAAUAAAAUUUCACUGGGAAAGGCCUUAACAAAUUUAACCUAUUUGAAUAGAAGGCUGAACUAAAUGACAUUCAGGGUAUACUUGUGCCUUAAUUACUGUGUGACUCUGUAAAACAGACAUCUAACAUCACUCAAAUUAACUCGACCUGAAUGUUUUAUGUUAUUUUUUUAAAAAGGCUUUGCCUUGCAGAUAUUUAAGGAGUGGUCCUCUGACAUUCCUCUAGUAGGAACCAUGAACAUUACUUUUCAGGUAAAACAGUUUAAUUUUUUUUCCCUGUACAGUUCUGAAACUCAGAUACUUCACCCCAUCUCUAAAAGCUUAUACUCUUAUAAACUCUUAUUAAAGCGUAAAAGCUUAUACUCUUUAAAGAGUAUUCCCAGAUAGAA
This is a long non-coding RNA of Pyrgilauda ruficollis (rufous-necked snowfinch), 1474 nucleotides long. RefSeq lists it as uncharacterized. The transcript is spliced from 4 exons. The record is from RefSeq and is a predicted model, not a curated record. Lineage: Eukaryota; Metazoa; Chordata; Aves; Passeriformes; Passeridae.